ACAGUCUGAAAAUGGCCCCAGGUGCGUCAGUGAUCUGGGGUCAGAUAAGUGUGCCCACAGUACCGUGGUGCAUUAAGCUUAUUGCGUGCGUCUCUUUGUGGCUACGUGAUAAAACCCAUGUACCUACAUAC
This is a small nucleolar RNA of Notolabrus celidotus (New Zealand spotty), 131 nucleotides long. RefSeq annotates it as small nucleolar RNA ACA64. The record is from RefSeq and is a predicted model, not a curated record. The transcript has a single exon. Lineage: Eukaryota; Metazoa; Chordata; Actinopteri; Labriformes; Labridae.